Molecule: ribosomal RNA, 725 nt
Filed under: uncultured crenarchaeote
Lineage: Archaea; Thermoproteati; Thermoproteota
Description: bacterial SSU rRNA
Rfam family: Archaeal small subunit ribosomal RNA
Source: RNAcentral
CGAGUCAUUGUAGCAAUACAAGGCAUACGGCUCAGUAACGCGUAGUCCACCUAACCUAUGGACGGGAAUAACCUCGGGAAACUGAGAAUAAUGCCCGAUAGAACAUUAUGCCUGGAAUGGUUUAUGUUCCAAAUGAUUUAUCGCCGUAGGAUGGGACUGCGGCCUAUCAGUUUGUUGGUGAGGUAAUGGCCCACCAAGACUAUUACAGGUACGGGCUCUGAGAGGAGCAGCCCGGAGAUGGGUACUGAGACACGGACCCAGGCCCUAUGGGGCGCAGCAGGCGAGAAAACUUUGCAAUGUGUGAAAGCACGACAAGGUUAAUCCGAGUGGUUUCUGCUAAAGAAACCUUUUGUCAGUCCUAGAAACACUGAUGAAUAAGGGGUGGGCAAGUUCUGGUGUCAGCCGCCGCGGUAAAACCAGCACCUCAAGUGGUCAGGAUGAUUAUUGGGCCUAAAGCAUCCGUAGCCGGCUCUGUAAGUUUUCGGUUAAAUCUGUACGCUCAACGUACAGGCUGCCGGGAAUACUGCAGAGCUAGGGAGUGGGAGAGGUAGACGGUACUCGGUAGGAAGGGGUAAAAUCCUUUGAUCUAUUGAUGACCACCUGUGGCGAAGGCGGUCUACCAGAACACGUCCGACGGUGAGGGAUGAAAGCUGGGGGAGCAAACCGGAUUAGAUACCCGGGUAGUCCCAGCUGUAAACUAUGCAAACUCAGUGAUGCAUUGGCUU